Molecule: RNA transcript, 1340 nt
Organism: Helianthus annuus (common sunflower)
Lineage: Eukaryota; Viridiplantae; Streptophyta; Magnoliopsida; Asterales; Asteraceae
Exons: 5
Source: RefSeq, a predicted model, not a curated record
CCAAAAGAGGUGCACCACCGACUCUCUUCCACCUUCUUCUUCCGAUCAUGCCCUCUGAAACCCUAAUUUCACAUUUCAAACCUUCAACUUCACCUCUCAAUUCCUCCAAACCACCCACACCUACCACCACCUCACCACCACCACCUCCCACCGCCGCACAACCAAUGAUUUGCACCGCCAAAUCAUCCAAUUGGCUCGACCGCCUCCGUUCUUCCAGAGGCUUCCCGGAUUCCGAUCACAUUGAUCUCGAACACUUCCUCUCAACUUCCACUGACAAAACCGAUUCAUCGGUAAUUAAAUUCACCUGUAAAAAGCCUCUGAUCGAUGAGAAUUUCGUCGCCGAAAAGCGUGACGAUGAUAAUAAAUCUGUACAAAAGCGUGAUUUGAUAAACAAUGUACUUUCGGAGCUUUUUUACAUGGGAGAGUGUGAGGAACAGUCGAGAAUUAAGAUGGAAAAGAGUUGUAGAAACAGGAAGCAACUGUGCCCUAGAGUUCAUGUUGUUUUGGCGAAUUCGGAUGUUCGGAAUGAUACUGCUGCUCGAAAGGAUAGGGUUUCUUUGAGUAGUGGGCGGAAGGUUAAGGAAGUUAGCCAGGUGAAGGAGUGUGUGGGAGUGGGAGAGGGAGAGGGAGAAGAGAAAGGCGGUCGGGAUUGUGAUCUUUCGGCAUAUUCGCAGACGGAGGUUACGGUUAUUGAUACGAGUGUUCCAUGUUGGAAGUUUGAGAAGGUGUUGUAUAGGAGUAAGAAUGUGUGGAAGGUUGGGGAUAGGAAAGGUAAGGGGUUGAUGAAUGGUGAUAAGAAGAGGAAAGAGAGGGUGAGUGAGAGUGGUGGCGAUGUACCGAAGAAGAAGUUGAAAAAGAAGAUGAAAUUGAGUAAUUCGUUGAAGGCUGAUCAGGGACGCGACCAAGGCAAGGUGGUAGCAGGAAAUGAGAAGAAACGGGAUAAUUCUAGCCAACUACAAGAAAAGAGUUUUUGCAAGAAACAAAUAGAUGAAGGUUCAUCUGUCAUUCUUAUUAAAAGCAUCCCAACAACAAAUAAAAAGAAUGCGUCAGGCAUCUCAAAUGGCUGUGUGAAAUCUAUGCAAAGAUAGAACACAUCAAAUUUAGGGUUCUUCCAGAGGUCGAGAAAGUACAGCGGGAGCAGCAGUUAAUAUGGACAAAGAUGAAAAGAGACUUGUUUACCGAUCAUCUCGAUCUGGUCUUCAGGUAUGAAGAUGGAAGAUGGAAUCGAAGAGUUGCUUAUGAGUUUUAUUAAACCAGCUACUUAUACUCUCUAUAACUAUAAUGAAGGUGUUAUUAUUGUCAAGUGGUUUAGUUUAUAAUAUAAAGCAUAAUCUACUAAA